GAACACAGCCCCUGCCAUUCCCAGUCACCGGCUCGGAGGCCGUGGGCGCCUUGGCGAGGGCGCGGCGGCGGGAAUGCAGAACAUAUCCUCAUCACCUGCGUCCACCACUGUCACUCCUGACCGCGAGACGCGAAAGGUCGGAUCCGCAGCUGCUUGCCCGGUUCUACUAUGCCGACGAGGAGCUGAACCAGGUGGCCGCGGAGCUGGACAGCCUGGAUGGGCGGAAGGACCCCCAGCGGUGCACGCUGCUGGUCAGCCAGUUCCGCUCCUGUCAGGACAAUGUGUUGAACAUCAUUAACCAGAUCAUGGAUGAGUGCAUCCCCCAGGACCGCGCCCCCAGAGAUUUCUGCGUCAAGUUCCCUGAGGAGAUCCGGCACGACAACCUGGCCGGCCAGCUGUGGUUCGGUGCCGAGGUAGCGGGUGGCCACCUGGGUUCAGAGGUCCUGAUGUGGGGUGGUAUCUAGACAUGUCCCUGCGAACCUCGUGCAUGGGUGCCUGCAGGUGCCGGGACCUGGUGUCUCCUCCAAGAGCUCCGUCCACUCUGGGUUACGUGGUGUGGUCUGAGCCUGGUAGGC
This 575-nucleotide small RNA is filed under the name Pongo abelii (Sumatran orangutan). Its description in RNAcentral is "processed transcript". The record is from RNAcentral. Lineage: Eukaryota; Metazoa; Chordata; Mammalia; Primates; Hominidae.